GGGGAGAACUAAAACAACUGUGAUGGAAACAUAACUAAAUCUUCUCAAAGCACUGCAAACAUUAUUAUAAUUUUUUACUAAAUCAAUGACUAAAGAUAUGCAGGAAAGUAGCUAAAGCACUAAACCAAGGAAGAUCCGGUAAGAACUUCUAGUUAAUCCAAGGAUCUAACUCAGGGGGAGUCCCCUUUCCUAUCUGAUUUGAGAAAUUCUUUACUGUUUCACCUUUACUCUGUAUUGUUUUGUCAUCAUAAAAAAGGGGGAGAU
RNAcentral lists this long non-coding RNA (264 nucleotides) under Lathyrus oleraceus (garden pea). RNAcentral describes it as "Pisum sativum (pea) long non-coding RNA (PSAT_LNC000823)". The record is from RNAcentral. Lineage: Eukaryota; Viridiplantae; Streptophyta; Magnoliopsida; Fabales; Fabaceae.